UGUUCCUGGAGAUCUACUGUCCUGUAGGUUCAGUCCAACCCUGUUCCUGGAGAUCUACUGUCCUGUAGGUUCAGUCCAACCCUGUUCCUGGAGAUCUACUGUCCUGUAGGUUCAGUCCAACCCUGUUCCUGGAGAUCUACUGUCCUGUAGGUUCAGUCCAACCCUGUUCCUGGAGAUCUACUGUCCUGUAGGUUCAGUCCAACCCUGUUCCUGGAGAUCUACUGUCCUGUAGGUUCAGUCCAACCCUGUUCCUGGAGAUCUACUGUCCUGUAGGUUCAGUCCAACCCUGUUCCUGGAGAUCUACUGUCCUGUAGGUUCAGUCCAACCCUGUUCCUGGAGAUCUACUGUCCUGUAGGUUCAGUCCAACCCUGUUCCUGGAGAUCUACUGUCCUGUAGGUUCAGUCCAACCCUGUUCCUGGCGAUCUACUGUCCUGUAGGUUCAGUCCAACCCUGUUCCUGGAGAUCUACCGUCCUGUAGGUUCAGUCCAACCCUCUUCCUGGAGAUCUACCGUCCUGACCCAGUUUCAAUGUACAGUCAAGUGUCUCACUAGAGGGAGACUUUACUGACCGUGCAGCUUACCAGGAGAGAGAGCCUGUCCUUAGUCUGACAAUAGAAAGCACCAGGAACUAAACCCUUUAUGCCUGGGGGCUGCUGCUGCUGCUAAGGGAAAUGCUGACAUCUCUUAAUCCUACUUUUUCUCUCUUCUCUCCCUUCCUCCCCUU
Molecule: long non-coding RNA, 723 nt
Organism: Oncorhynchus keta (chum salmon)
Lineage: Eukaryota; Metazoa; Chordata; Actinopteri; Salmoniformes; Salmonidae
Exons: 3
Source: RefSeq, a predicted model, not a curated record